UUGUACAAGUUGUUCCCUGCACUGCACUGCCAUGCAUAAAACCUUAUUCUCUGCAGGCUUCGUUUUGUUGAAGAAGGUGGUCGUACGUAUAGGCCUAGUGAGUACGUAGCUUAGCUACCAAUGAGACCUGGUGGAGGUCCCGGAGGACCUCCUGGACCGCCUCCCGGACCGCCUGGUUUCGGAGGACCUCCCGGACCGCCUGGUUUCGGAGGACCUCCCGGACCGCCUGGUCCGCAUCCUCUCUUCGGUGGCUUUUGUGAUUUCAUUGGUGCAUGGUACGUAUAUAUGUAUGUAAAUCUACAUCUUAACUCGUCUCAUUCCCUCUCUCUAAAUGACCAUUUUGUUUAUGGGAGUUUUGCA
Molecule: long non-coding RNA, 360 nt
Filed under: Malus domestica (apple)
Lineage: Eukaryota; Viridiplantae; Streptophyta; Magnoliopsida; Rosales; Rosaceae
Description: long non-coding RNA (MDOM_LNC004140)
Source: RNAcentral